Molecule: ribosomal RNA, 308 nt
Filed under: uncultured bacterium
Lineage: Bacteria
Description: partial 16S ribosomal RNA
Rfam family: Bacterial small subunit ribosomal RNA
Source: RNAcentral
GAGACAGCAGUAGCGCGGUAAUACGAAGGGGGCUAGCGUUGUUCGGAAUUACUGGGCGUAAAGCGCACGUAGGCGGAUAUUUAAGUCAGGGGUGAAAUCCCGCAGCUCAACUGCGGAACUGCCUUUGAUACUGGGUAUCUUGAGUAUGGAAGAGGUUAGUGGAAUUGCGAGUGUAGAGGUGAAAUUCGUAGAUAUUCGCAGGAACACCAGUGGCGAAGGCGGCUAACUGGUCCAUAACUGACGCUGAGGUGCGAAAGCGUGGGGAGCAAACAGGAUUAGAUACCCGUGUAGUCCCUGUCUCUUAUACC